GACGGAGGAUGCAAGCGUUAUCCGGAAUUAUUGGGCGUAAAGCGUCCGCAGGUGGCCAUUCAAGUCUGUUGUCAAAGCGCGGGGCUUAACCCUGUAAAGGCAAUGGAAACUGAAUAGCUAGAGUAUGGUAGGGGUAGAGGGAAUUCCCGGUGUAGCGGUGAAAUGCGUAGAUAUCGGGAAGAACACCAGUGGCGAAAGCGCUCUGCUGGGCCAUAACUGACACUGAGGGACGAAAGCUAGGGGAGCGAAAGGG
This 253-nucleotide ribosomal RNA is filed under the name uncultured bacterium. RNAcentral describes it as "partial 16S ribosomal RNA". It matches the Rfam family "Bacterial small subunit ribosomal RNA", at positions 524 to 776 of the family's 1533-position model. The record is from RNAcentral.